GACGAACGCUGGCGGCGUGCUUAACACAUGCAAGUCGAGCGAACAGACGAGGAGCUUGCUGCUCGGUCGUUAACGGCGGGCGGGGGAGUAACACGUGGAGAACCUCCCUAUAAGACUGGAACAACUACGGGAAACGGGCUCAAAUACCAGAAUAUAUCUUGAACCGCAGGGUUCACUUGUGAAUAACGGUUUUGUUGGCUGUUAUAGAUGGAUCCGCGCCGUCUUAGCUUGUUGGGAAGGUAACGGCUUACCAAGGCGACGAUGGGUAGCCGACCUGAGAGAGUGAUCGCCCACACUGGAUGUGAGACAGAGUCCAGACUCCGACGCGAGGACGCAGUAGGGAAUCUUCCGCAAUGGGGGAAAGCCUGACGGAGCAACGCGGCGUGAGUGAUGAAGGUGCUCGGCUCGUAAAGCUCUGUUAUUAGUGGAGAACAAAUGUGUAAGUAACCAUGCAGGUAUUGACGGUACCGGAUCAAUAAGCCACGGCUAACUACGUG
This 497-nucleotide ribosomal RNA is filed under the name uncultured bacterium. Its description in RNAcentral is "partial 16S ribosomal RNA". It matches the Rfam family "Bacterial small subunit ribosomal RNA", at positions 28 to 507 of the family's 1533-position model. The record is from RNAcentral.